RNAcentral lists this long non-coding RNA (676 nucleotides) under Mytilus galloprovincialis (Mediterranean mussel). Lineage: Eukaryota; Metazoa; Mollusca; Bivalvia; Mytilida; Mytilidae. The record is from RNAcentral.
GUGUUUCAGAGGAGUUGAGAUGACAAACUGUUGCAGAAGUACAUUGAAGCAAAUAAGUUCAAAGGGGCAUAACUCCUAGAAAAAAAAUUGAACCGUAAUUUCCUGUUGAUAUGCACAUCUACAUAGUAUGUCCUUAUUAUCUACAAAGUUUCGUGAAAUUCUGUUGUGUGGUUUGAGAGGAGUUGCGAUGACAAACUGUUGCAGUAGUACAUUAAAGUAAAUAAGUUCAAAGGGGCGUAACUCCUAGAAAAAAAAUUGAAUCGCAAUUUCCCGUCGAUAUGCACAACUACAUAGUAUGUCCUUAUUAUCUGAAAAGGUUUCGUGAAAUUCUGUUGUGUGGUUUGAGAGGAGUUGCGAUGACAAACUGUUGCAGUAGAGCAUUAAAGUAAAUAAGUUCAAGGGGGCGUAACUCCUAGAAAAAAAUUGAAUCGCAAUUUCCCGUCGAUAUGCACAACAACAUAGUAUGUCCUUAUUAUCUGAAAAGGUUUCGUGAAAUUCUGUUGUGUGGUUUGAGAGGAGUUGCGAUGACAAACUGUUGCAGUAGUACAUUAAAGUAAAUAAGUUCAAAGGGGCGUAACUCCUAGAAAAAAAAUUGAAUCGCAAUUUCCCGUCGAUAUGCACAACUACAUAGUAUGUCCUUAUUAUCUGAAAAGGUUUCGUGAAAUUCUGUUGUGUG